GGACAGCAACACAUGAGAAAGCCUCGCUGGCAGAGGCGGACAUGCCGCCCUGUAUAUUUACCAGAAAUGCGGAUAAAAUCGCUUGUAGCGCAUCUUCUUUCUCAUCAUCACUUUCCUCCUCCUGCAGAACCCCUAAAAUGUAGGCCCCAUAAACCUCUCGGUCCACUUCUAGAGAGUCCAGACGAUCAUUAAGCCAUCUUUCAAACUCCCCGGCGUCUGUCACGGGCGCAGCCAUCUUGGCCCUAUGGGGUCUUUCCGACGGUGCAUGGUAGUCCUUUGUCAAUGCCUGUCAAAAAAGUGUAAACUAGAUGACCUCAUCUCCCCAACUUCUCGACAUGAUGGACAUCAGGCGAAGGACAAGUUGCUAACAGGCUGUGAUUCUGCGCUGAACUGGUCACACCUUCAGUCCAGCUGCGCCUGCUGCCUCGAGUGUCACUGCGGCGGACGCCAUUUUACCUGAGGUCCGAGCAGCCCAGCGAUGUCCUAAAGUUACCAGGACGGCAGGAAGAAUUGUGAAAGAAGUUUAAUGUGAGGAAGAAGAGCCUUCGUCACUUAUCACCUCUUUGAGAUGAAAGGCCCCGAAAGCAGCCAGCCACACCUGCAAAACAGAUCUCAGCUGUUAUAGGAAGUGUUUGACAGGAGUGGCAGGUAAUGCCUGCUAAAUGAAGAUGGAGACAAGCCCUACACCCAAAGAUCCUCUCCUCUCCAUCUACUGUCUGCAGUGGGGCUCUUGAGGACGUUGUUCACACCGAAGCACAUCCAUCUUGUUUUUAUCCGAAAUUACUCGCCGUCUUUGAUUCUCACUGCCUGUGUAAAUUAAGUGGGAGUGAGCAGGCGGGAAAGCGGUGGGCUGAUGGAUGUUAUUGGAGGUGUUGCAUUGAUAAUCAGACACAACAAGAUACUGGGUGAGAGGAGGUGAGAGAUAGAGGCAGGAAUAGGUAGAACGAUAGUGAUGUCUCU
Molecule: long non-coding RNA, 960 nt
Organism: Eleginops maclovinus (Patagonian blennie)
Lineage: Eukaryota; Metazoa; Chordata; Actinopteri; Perciformes; Eleginopidae
Exons: 5
Source: RefSeq, a predicted model, not a curated record